Molecule: RNA transcript, 2291 nt
Organism: Cucurbita pepo subsp. pepo (vegetable marrow)
Lineage: Eukaryota; Viridiplantae; Streptophyta; Magnoliopsida; Cucurbitales; Cucurbitaceae
Gene name: splicing factor U2af small subunit B
Source: RefSeq, a predicted model, not a curated record
AUCAGGAGGAGAAGAACAGCAGAACUUUGCCGGUCUCGAGCAAAAGAAAAUGGCGGAACAUUUGGCUUCAAUUUUCGGAACGGAAAAGGAUAGGGUUAACUGCCCCUUCUACUUCAAGAUUGGAGCCUGUAGACACGGAGAUCGGUGCUCUCGGCUUCACACCAAGCCCAGCAUCAGCCCUACACUUCUCCUCUCUAAUAUGUAUCAGAGACCUGACAUGAUCACCCCCGGUGUUGACCCUCAGGGCCAAGCCCUUGAUCCGCGCAAGGUUCAAGAUCACUUCGAGGACUUUUAUGAAGAUCUAUUCGAGGAGCUGAGCAAAUAUGGAGAUCUCGAAAGCUUAAAUAUUUGUGAUAAUUUGGCUGACCAUAUGGUGGGCAAUGUCUAUGUUCAGUUUAGGGAAGAAGAACAAGCUGCAAAUGCGCUUCAGAAUCUUAAUGGGCGCUUUUAUGCAGGUCGACCCAUCAUUGUUGACUUCUCUCCUGUGACGGAUUUUCGAGAAGCUACUUGCAGGCAAUAUGAGGAAAAUGUAUGUAAUCGUGGUGGCUAUUGCAACUUUAUGCAUCUGAAGAAGAUAAGCAGAGAGUUGAGAAGGCGUUUAUUUGGGAGGAGCAGACGCAGGCGUAGCCGAAGCCAAAGUCAAAGUCGAAGCCCCCACAGGCAUCAUGGACAUGAUGACCGUCCCCAUGGUGGUCGUGGACGUGGACCUAGUAGAAGAGAUGGAGACAAGGACCCUCGGUAUCAUGAUAGAAGCAGGAGGCCUAGAAGCCGUAGCCCUAGGCAUAGAGGGGGACGGAGUAGGAGCCCUGGAGGGAGGAGGAAUAGAAGUCCGGUGAGGGAAAGUAGUGCUGAAAGAAGGGCUAAGAUUGAACAGUGGAACAGGGACAGGGAAACGGCAGAUAAUGGUAGUGGUCACCAGGAUGUCAAGGAUGAUGGUGGUAGCAAUGGCCUUGUACAAAAUGAAGAUGAAUUUGAUCCUUCUAAGCAGUACUAGAGAAAAUCUUGGAUGCUGUUGCUUGCCUGAAAGGAACAUUGCUGGUUUGCUUCUGCCCUUCUAUUGAUUCAAUAUAGGUGGAGGACAGGUUCCCUGUCACGUGUUAAUGAAUGUGAAUUCCAGUUUUGUUAACCCCGUCUCUUUCACCCUAAAAAAGAAAUUAACUAGUAUAGAAAUAGUCGUUAGUGAGUAAGUCUCUAAGAAAUUCUACAAUAUUCCAUACCAUUGUUUAAUUGGUCACAGCUAUCCCUAUCCAUUCUUCCUUUUGUCUAUUCUUUGUUCCUUGGUUUUAAACUCUACCUACGUUCACCUCAGUCAGAAAUGCAUUUCCACCAUAUUUAUGGGAAUUACAUGAUAAAAUAAAUCCUGGUAUUAGCUAAAAGUAGGAUGUGUAUGUGUAGCGUUUAAGCUUCACAAGUCUCGAGGAAAGAUGUCUGAAAACCAUUUUUAGUUUUUCUUUCCUUUUUCCUAUUUUUUAAACCGUCUAUGCUUUACUUUUACAUAAAGAUGAAGACCAACAUCUUAGAACCAGCCUUCAUGUUUGCUGAUGCUUACCUCUUUCUUAAAUAUACUGUUUAGUCAGAAUAAUGUUAAUACGUUGGUAAUUAUCAUAUUAUUUUCUAGCCCCCAAAAUUUACUCAUCCGAACUGGUACUUCUUCAUAUUUGUUAUCUUGAGAUCUGGUUUAAUUUUUUAGACUAGUAUUUUUUUCAAUAUUUUCAACCUCAUAUAGAUAGAUUCACACCUAAAGCAGAACUAGAGCUUGGUGUCGGUCUAAUUGAAAGUUUUUAUCCUGCCCAUGCUCCCAUCUUAACAGGAAAAUAGAAAUAGAAGCACUUGUGGUUAUGGUUUUUUUACUAUUUGUAUAUGUUUAUUGAAUUUUCUUUUAUCUUUCUUACAUACGCUGCGAGUUUUGCAGGUUCAGGUUUUCCUGCUUUCCCAAAUACUUCUUAGGCAGCUUACCAUCGUAUUCAUAAUACAGGUUUGGCUGUUAUCUGGAGGAUUUGCAGGAUUUGAUGUGAUGUUUCGUUGGAAACAUGAAGGAAGCUUCUCUCUACAACUUCUGUAAUGCUGAAAAAUGUAUGUCCUCGUAAGGUUGAUUUCCCUAUUCCAUAAUCAAGUAAGUUUUAAGGAUUUAUGAGACAGAAGUAGAUGUAAUUUCGCUUUCUUGUUUUGAAUUGUUUUGUAUUUCCAACAUUAAUUGAUGUUUUCGUAGAGAAAUACUAUGGAGCUGCCAUUGAAAAUAUUUUAAGUUUGCUUUGGUUGGCUAAUACACCUUGGAUUUCUCAUUUUGCUUA